GGCUCAUCUACAUAUUACCCUCCCCAGACCCCACUUUGUGGGAUUAUACUGGAUAGUUGUUAUUGUUAUUGUUGUUGUUCUAAAACUAAAGAAGAACAAAUGAAUAAAACAAAUUGAAGAAAUAAUCAGGAAAUUAUAAACAGCGAACAAAAAAAGAAUCAAACAUAUAACGAUUUCAAAUUCGAGAAUAUCAAACAAAAUACGGACAGAAAUGAAACUUAAACCAACUAACCAGAUCGGAACAACGACGAAAUUGAACAGAAACAAAUAUGCUCGGAAACUUUGAAUCAAAAUAACUUGAAUCUGCCCGGAACUUUUUUGUAUGUUUUUCCGUUUGAUUUUAGGCGAUGAAGCUGGAUGACGAACAUGGUGUUCACUUCGUGGAACAGGGUGAAGCUCAAGCAGAAACGGUGUGGUGGGGGGUGGGGUCGGGCUGUUUCAGGUCUUAUGGACGUUAACAGUGGGUGUUUAGCGUGGGGUUGUGACGCUUCUUGACGACGAUAGGCGGACAUCGGCUAGUGACGGUUGUGACUGGUUUGUUGGCCGUGAGGUGAAGGAUGACCAGUUGUUUGGACGAGGGCUGGAGUGAGGUGGAACGAGAGGGGAUGUUUGUUUGGUCCGGGUGCUGGUCGGGAAGGGAUAACUUGGUCGUUUGGGUGAAAGAGGUGGGCGGUGGUUCAUUGGUGUUUGACGAGUGACGAAGGAGCGAAAACGGAUGAAGGUCUCGUUGGUAGUCGAUUGGCAGACUCCUUGGGGGACGACGAUAGAGGGGUAGGGGGGGUUAGCCUGGGUGUUCAUGGCAACGUGUGUGGCUAUGGUGGUUUAGGGUUUGAGGGUGUGUUUGGAGAAGAUGAAGAAAAAGGGGUUAGGUUUUUUUCUUCUCAUAGUUCAAAAAAUGAGAGACAAAUCUGAU
Molecule: long non-coding RNA, 913 nt
Filed under: Nicotiana benthamiana
Lineage: Eukaryota; Viridiplantae; Streptophyta; Magnoliopsida; Solanales; Solanaceae
Description: long non-coding RNA (NBEN_LNC021665)
Source: RNAcentral